Molecule: transfer RNA, 72 nt
Filed under: Camelus ferus (Wild Bactrian camel)
Lineage: Eukaryota; Metazoa; Chordata; Mammalia; Artiodactyla; Camelidae
Rfam family: tRNA
About the family: Transfer RNA (tRNA) molecules are approximately 80 nucleotides in length. Their secondary structure includes four short double-helical elements and three loops (D, anti-codon, and T loops).
Source: Rfam by way of RNAcentral
GAAGGUGUAGCUCAGUGGUAGAGCACAUGCUUAGCAUGCAUGAGGUUCUGGGUUCAUUCGCCAGCACCUCCA